UACGAAGGGGGCUAGCGUUGCUCGGAAUUACUGGGCGUAAAGCGUGCGCAGGCGGUGAUGUAAGACAGGUGUGAAAUCCCCCGGGCUUAACCUGGGAACUGCAUUUGUGACUGCAUGGCUGGAGUGCGGCAGAGGGGGAUGGAAUUCCGCGUGUAGCAGUGAAAUGCGUAGAUAUGCGGAGGAACACCGAUGGCGAAGGCAAUCCCCUGGGCCUGCACUGACGCUCAUGCACGAAAGCGUGGGGAGCAAACAGG
RNAcentral lists this ribosomal RNA (254 nucleotides) under uncultured bacterium. RNAcentral describes it as "partial 16S ribosomal RNA". It matches the Rfam family "Bacterial small subunit ribosomal RNA", at positions 524 to 776 of the family's 1533-position model. The record is from RNAcentral.